AGUGAACGUUGGCGGCGUGGAUUAGGCAUGCAAGUCGAGCGAGAACCGUAGCAAUACGGGGACAGCGGCGAAAGGGACAGUAAUGUGUAGGUACCUACCUCCGGGUUCGGGAUAGCUGCGGGAAACUGCAGGUAAUACGGAAUAACGUCUCCGGACCAAAGGUGUGAUUCCACCUGGAGAGGGGCCUGCAUCCUAUUAGCUUGUUGGCGGGGUAACGGCCCACCAAGGCGACGAUGGGUAGCGGGUGUGAGAGCACGACCCGCGUCAUUGGGACUGAGACACUGCGCAGAAACCUACGGGUGGCUGAAGUCGAGGAUCUUCGGCAAUGGGCGCAAGGCUGACCGAGCGACGCCGCGUGCGGGAUGAAGGCCUUCGGGUUGUAAACCGCUGUCGUAGAGGAGGAAAUGCAGGGGGGUUCUCCCCUCUGUUUGACCUAUUCUAGGAGGAAGUACGGGCUAAGUUCGUGCCAGCAGCCGCCGUAA
This 482-nucleotide ribosomal RNA is filed under the name uncultured bacterium. RNAcentral describes it as "partial 16S ribosomal RNA". It matches the Rfam family "Bacterial small subunit ribosomal RNA", at positions 30 to 523 of the family's 1533-position model. The record is from RNAcentral.